UUAAGCGACUAAGCGUACACGGUGGAUGCCCUGGCAGUCAGAGGCGAUGAAGGACGUGCUAAUCUGCGAAAAGCGUCGGUAAGGUGAUAUGAACCGUUAUAACCGGCGAUGUCCGAAUGGGGAAACCCAGUGCAAUUCGUUGCACUAUCGUUAACUGAAUACAUAGGUUAACGAGGCGAACCGGGGGAACUGAAACAUCUAAGUACCCCGAGGAAAAGAAAUCAACCGAGAUUCCCCCAGUAGCGGCGAGCGAACGGGGAGCAGCCCAGAGUCUGAAUCAGCUUGUGUGUUAGUGGAACGGUCUGGAAAGUCCGACGGUACAGGGUGAUAGUCCCGUACACCAAAAUGCACAGGCUGUGAACUCGAAGAGUAGGGCGGGACACGUGGUAUCCUGUCUGAAUAUGGGGGGACCAUCCUCCAAGGCUAAAUACUCCUGACUGACCGAUAGUGAACCAGUACCGUGAGGGAAAGGCGAAAAGAACCCCGGCGAGGGGAGUGAAAAAGAACCUGAAACCGUGUACGUACAAGCAGUGGGAGCACCUUCGGGUGUGACUGCGUACCUUUUGUAUAAUGGGUCAGCGACUUAUAUUCUGUAGCAAGGUUAACCGUAUAGGGGAGCCGCAGGGAAACCGAGUCUUAACUGGGCGUUAAGUUGCAGGGUAUAGACCCGAAACCCGGUGAUCUAGCCAUGGGCAGGUUGAAGGUUGGGUAACACUAACUGGAGGACCGAACCGACUAAUGUUGAAAAAUUAGCGGAUGACUUGUGGCUGGGGGUGAAAGGCCAAUCAAACCGGGAGAUAGCUGGUUCUCCCCGAAAGCUAUUUAGGUAGCGCCUCGUGAACUCAUCUUCGGGGGUAGAGCACUGUUUCGGCUAGGGGGUCAUCCCGACUUACCAACCCGAUGCAAACUACGAAUACCGAAGAAUGUUAUCACGGGAGACACACGGCGGGUGCUAACGUCCGUCGUGAAGAGGGAAACAACCCAGACCGCCAGCUAAGGUCCCAAAGUCAUGGUUAAGUGGGAAACGAUGUGGGAAGGCACAGACAGCCAGGAUGUUGGCUUAGAAGCAGCCAUCAUUUAAAGAAAGCGUAAUAGCUCACUGGUCGAGUCGGCCUGCGCGGAAGAUGUAACGGGGCUAAACCAUGCACCGAAGCUGCGGCAGCGACACUAUGUGUUGUUGGGUAGGGGAGCGUUCUGUAAGCCUGCGAAGGUGUGCUGUGAGGCAUGCUGGAGGUAUCAGAAGUGCGAAUGCUGACAUAAGUAACGAUAAAGCGGGUGAAAAGCCCGCUCGCCGGAAGACCAAGGGUUCCUGUCCAACGUUAAUCGGGGCAGGGUGAGUCGACCCCUAAGGCGAGGCCGAAAGGCGUAGUCGAUGGGAAACAGGUUAAUAUUCCUGUACUUGGUGUUACUGCGAAGGGGGGACGGAGAAGGCUAUGUUAGCCGGGCGACGGUUGUCCCGGUUUAAGCAUGUAGGCUGGUUAUCCAGGCAAAUCCGGAUAACCAAGGCUGAGGUGUGAUGACGAGGCACUACGGUGCUGAAGUAACAAAUGCCCUGCUUCCAGGAAAAGCCUCUAAGCAUCAGGUAACAUCAAAUCGUACCCCAAACCGACACAGGUGGUCAGGUAGAGAAUACCAAGGCGCUUGAGAGAACUCGGGUGAAGGAACUAGGCAAAAUGGUGCCGUAACUUCGGGAGAAGGCACGCUGGUGUGUAGGUGAAGUCCCUGCGGAUGGAGCUGAGACCAGUCGAAGAUACCAGCUGGCUGCAACUGUUUAUUAAAAACACAGCACUGUGCAAACACGAAAGUGGACGUAUACGGUGUGACGCCUGCCCGGUGCCGGAAGGUUAAUUGAUGGGGUUAUCCGUAAGGAGAAGCUCUUGAUCGAAGCCCCGGUAAACGGCGGCCGUAACUAUAACGGUCCUAAGGUAGCGAAAUUCCUUGUCGGGUAAGUUCCGACCUGCACGAAUGGCGUAAUGAUGGCCAGGCUGUCUCCACCCGAGACUCAGUGAAAUUGAACUCGCUGUGAAGAUGCAGUGUACCCGCGGCAAGACGGAAAGACCCCGUGAACCUUUACUAUAGCUUGACACUGAACAUUGAGCCUUGAUGUGUAGGAUAGGUGGGAGGCUUUGAAGCGUGGACGCCAGUCUGCGUGGAGCCAACCUUGAAAUACCACCCUUUAAUGUUUGAUGUUCUAACGUUGGCCCCUGACCGGGGUUGCGGACAGUGUCUGGUGGGUAGUUUGACUGGGGCGGUCUCCUCCCAAAGCGUAACGGAGGAGCACGAAGGUUAGCUAAUCCUGGUCGGACAUCAGGAGGUUAGUGCAAUGGC
This 2328-nucleotide ribosomal RNA is filed under the name Klebsiella pneumoniae. Its description in RNAcentral is "bacterial LSU rRNA". It matches the Rfam family "Bacterial large subunit ribosomal RNA", at positions 1 to 2358 of the family's 2925-position model. The record is from RNAcentral. Lineage: Bacteria; Pseudomonadati; Pseudomonadota; Gammaproteobacteria; Enterobacterales; Enterobacteriaceae.